UUGGAGGGCAAGUCUGGUGCCCGCAGCCGCGGUAAUUCCAGCUCCAAUAGCGUAUAUUAAAGUUGUUGCAGUUAAAAAGCUCGUAGUUGAAUUUCGGGAUCAAGGGAUCGGUCAUGCCUUGGUAUGUACUGGUCUUAUUGGUUCUCACCUUCUAAAGAACCAUGAUGUCAUUCAUUUGAUGUUAUGGGGAAUUAGGACUGUUACCUUGAAAAAAUUAGAGUGUUUAAAGCAAGCUUACGCUUGAAUACAUUAGCAUGGAAUAAUGAAAUAGGACAUCAGAUUCUAUUUUGUUGGUUUCUAGGAUCGAUGUAAUGAUUAAUAGGGAUAGUUGGGGGCAUUAGUAUUCAAUUGUCAGAGGUGAAAUUCUUGGAUUUAUUGAAGACUAACUACUGCGAAAGCAUUUGCCAAGGAUGUUUUCAUUAAUCAAGAACGAAAGUUAGGGGAUCGAAGACGAUCAGAUACCGUCGUAGUCUUAACCAUAAACUAUGCCGACUAGGGAUCGGAUGAUGUUAAAUCACUAGUGAAUUCGCGGCCGCCUGCA
Molecule: ribosomal RNA, 541 nt
Filed under: uncultured Glomus
Lineage: Eukaryota; Fungi; Glomeromycota; Glomeromycetes; Glomerales; Glomeraceae
Description: SSU rRNA
Rfam family: Eukaryotic small subunit ribosomal RNA
Source: RNAcentral